GCCCGGGUGGCGGAACUGGUAGACGCAAGGGACUUAAAAUCCCUCGGGACCAAAUCCCGUGCCGGUUCGAUUCCGGCCUCGGGCA
Molecule: non-coding RNA, 85 nt
Organism: Gammaproteobacteria bacterium
Lineage: Bacteria; Pseudomonadati; Pseudomonadota; Gammaproteobacteria
Source: Rfam